GGCACUAUUUUAUUCAGAUAGUGUUAUUUGUACGCCAAUAAUAUCCCAAAUCCUAUUAUUAUUCAUUGAUUUCAAAUUUUAAUUUUAUUUUUUUUUGGAAUUUUUGGUAAGUUCAAGAAUAAUUUUUGAGUUUUUUGUGUUUUUGAAUCCAAGGGCAAGAAUGAAUGGAAAAAUCUCAAAAUCAUUGUGUGUUGACAAUGCUAAGGAGCUUCUCGAUUCUGUUGAUGCAUUUCUCUUCGAUUGC
RNAcentral lists this unclassified non-coding RNA (244 nucleotides) under Hevea brasiliensis (rubber tree). The record is from RNAcentral. Lineage: Eukaryota; Viridiplantae; Streptophyta; Magnoliopsida; Malpighiales; Euphorbiaceae.